Molecule: ribosomal RNA, 468 nt
Filed under: uncultured bacterium
Lineage: Bacteria
Description: partial 16S ribosomal RNA
Rfam family: Bacterial small subunit ribosomal RNA
Source: RNAcentral
GACGAACGCUGGCGGCGUGCUUAACACAUGCAAGUCGAACGGAAAGGCCCUGCUUUUGUGGGGUGCUCGAGUGGCGAACGGGUGAGUAACACGUGAGUAACCUGCCCUUGACUUUGGGAUAACUUCAGGAAACUGGGGCUAAUACCGGAUAGGAGCUCCUGCUGCAUGGUGGGGGUUGGAAAGUUUCGGCGGUUGGGGAUGGACUCGCGGCUUAUCAGCUUGUUGGUGGGGUAGUGGCUUACCAAGGCUUUGACGGGUAGCCGGCCUGAGAGGGUGACCGGCCACAUUGGGACUGAGAUACGGCCCAGACUCCAACGGGAGGCAGAAGUGGGGAAUAUUGCACAAUGGGCGGAAGCCUGAUGCAACAACGCCGCGUGCGGGAUGACGGCCUUCGGGUUGUAAACCGCUUUCGCCUGUGACGAAGCGUGAGUGACGGUAAUGGGUAAAGAAGCACCGGCUAACUACGUG